RNAcentral lists this transfer RNA (90 nucleotides) under Colletotrichum orbiculare MAFF 240422. RNAcentral's name for it is "tRNA-Pro for anticodon UGG". It matches the Rfam family "tRNA". From Rfam's summary of the family: Transfer RNA (tRNA) molecules are approximately 80 nucleotides in length. Their secondary structure includes four short double-helical elements and three loops (D, anti-codon, and T loops). Lineage: Eukaryota; Fungi; Ascomycota; Sordariomycetes; Glomerellales; Glomerellaceae. The record is from RNAcentral.
GGCCCGAUGGUCUAGUGGUACGAUUCUCGCUUUGGGUGAUUACGUAAUCACAAUUGCGAGAGGUCCCGGGUUCGAACCCCGGUCGGGCCC